RNA transcript from Dermacentor silvarum, 2819 nucleotides. RefSeq lists it as uncharacterized. The record is from RefSeq and is a predicted model, not a curated record. NCBI's taxonomy places the organism in Eukaryota, Metazoa, Arthropoda, Arachnida, Ixodida, Ixodidae. The transcript is spliced from 3 exons.
CUUUUGCUGGGUGAAUGUCUGGGAAAUUCUGAGCACCUGUCAAAGUCUGCAAAGUGUCAGUUUUAGGGCACAGCUCUCUCUCGGACACCCGUUCCUGUGGCUAGCGGUGCUGUAACCGAGCGAACGAGCACAACAAAAGAUGAGCGCAGAUCUCGGCAGGGGACGAAAGGCGCGAGGGUGCAGCGGAACCAUGAGGCCGAAAGCGGAGGAGGAUAUGGCAAAAGCAUAAGAAAAGCGUAGUGCAGCGGUUGCUGUGAAUAGUGGCCACGCAUCACCCACGCGCUGGCUCUCAUGAUCUCUAGAUCAGCGAGGUAGUCGUGCCACACUUCGCUCUGUUCGCAACGUGCCGCACGAGACAGAUCGUCUGCACCAGCCAAUAUAUCGUGAAAUGAAGACACGUGUACAGCUGCGCUCAAAUUUCACAUUGGGGACUAUCGUAAGCGUCGGUAAACUUUUUUAUUUCAAUGAUUAAAGUCGUGAAAAAAUGAUGGCAUACGGCUGGAAGUUCAUCUAGGUUAUCUCGUAAAGCUAUGAGUGGUGUCCAAAACGUGAUGCUAUGAUGUUUCUGGCUCCCGCAGUCACUUCCGCCGCAUGCAGCCAGCAAAAGCGUGGCCUUUGAGAACUGUAUUGGACACCACCCUUAAAGCUCUUCAGAGCACCACAAGUCAGCUUUCCUGCAUAGUUACGGUUUCUAAUCUCCAUAAUAAUGAAAUUGAUCCUUAAAUUGCAUGCAGCUUUGGCUUCCAGCCAGCUGCGUGCACAUGUGUAGUCCCUGCAUGCACUUAUGGCAGUACAGAACGCAGGGUUUGCUGUACGGGACAAAUCUUGCGUGCUGCAUUGAAGGACAUUAUCAUGAUGUCAUCCAACUCGUACUCUUGUCUAUGUGGCAGUGGUCCUUCAUAGGAAACAGGUGAUGGAGCCUGAUGCUGCAGAAGUGUCAUACUUUCGUAUUAGCUUACUGAAAAAGCAAAGGUACACAUUGUUUAUUUGAGGGAGCAAAUGCUACACCUUAUUGCAAAUACCUGUGAAGAUUGAAGCAGGUUUGGUCUACCCUUUCUCCAACAUUGUGCGUACAUGCCAACUGUUACGGUAAAAUGCCGGAUUUUUAUUGCUUGUUUACGAGUCUCGUAAUGACACCAGUAAUUUUACUGUUUUCCAUUUGUUGCCAGAUAAGGGCAACAUAUGGGGCAGAAACUUGGAGUCGCCCACCAAUUUCUCAGGAUCGGUUUCAGACCCACUUGCUUAUUCUGAUCUACCAGCUGCCAUUCACGGCACUCUGCACUCCUGUUGUGCUGAGAACAAAGUAUAACGCUGGCUUCAGCAGCAUCAAACACAAGGGGCUCUGUGGCGCAUGUGGCACUGCGCGAGUCUCUUCAUCAGGCACAAAACCGAAACGACCUUCGUGGCAUUCAUAUGCUUUACUGCAUGGCAUCAAUGUUUGCAGGGAGCUCAUUUUAGCAAACCGGCCACCAUUGUGCAACACACAUUAGACCCUUGCCCAUUUUUCUUGCUAAAAGAUGUAGUGUGCAUUAGAUUUUACUUUGUUUAUGAGAUUUAAUGUCAUUUCUAUGUUAGUUUCCUACUUCGAAAACAUAGAAAGUGCGCUUGAUUCAGGGGCGUGUUAGAAUAGGGCAAGUACAGGUAAACCCACUUAUAAUGGUCCCAAUUAUAAGGAUGUACCGGUUAUAACCACAACAUUUCAGUGUAUUCACAAUUUUCCAACCCUGCCAAAUGAAAGUGCUUUCAAAUAUAAUGAACGUCUUUUUAAUCGCCGUACUGUUAUAACAAACGCUUUGAACUCGGUCUUGGUAAAAACAGGCGCUGGGAGGUGUAACAUCAGAUGCUACGACAGCGGCACUCCCGUUAUUGCAUAAUUGUCCGUGCAUUACACCUACAGUGAAAUCUCCUUGAAACAAUUCUGCUUAAUACGUUUCUCGUGAUAACUUCCUUUUUCUAUAUACGAUUAUGGUCAGGUAAUGCGAUUUUCGAAUGAUACGUUUUACUUUCUGGUUCCCGUGAAGGUCGUAUCGAGAUUCCACUGUAUUUAAACAAUUUGGUGUGACCAUCUAAUUCCCUUCUACCAUGAGAACAGGUGCUCAGGCGUUCCUGUUGCCACUGUCAAUACUCAUGUGCCCCGCGCUGCCGCCACGCAACGUUGCAAUGGAUCGGUGGUUAUUACGCUGUUAUCAGAUCAGGGUUCAACGACACUUUACACUUUGCUGAUUGCUGAUAACAGUUAGUGUUAUUCCGGAGCCCUCCACUACAGCGUGCUUCAUAGUCGCAACUGGUUUUGGCACGUAAAACCCCAGAAAGAAGAAAACAGUUCGUGGUGACAUUCUACCCUUCAAACAUCAUAUUUUUUCAGUUGAAGCGACACAGAUAAUGUAAUUUUACGGCUAUGUGUGGCUGAUGUGUAGUCGUAAUGCCGAGACAUGCCACAGUAGUUUCCAAAAUUUAUGCUUUCAGACAACUAGAAUGCUUUGAUGUCUUAUGCAGAAUAUAGGGCUGUCUCGUGGGUAGUAAACAUGUCACAAGCUCUCGAAUAAAAAAUGACGGCUGUACUUGCAGUUUCGAAGUUGCAGGUGAUCAGAACCGGGUGCCAUUUUGAAACAGCGAUAUGCCACAGCAUUUCAUUCUUUAGAUGGACGUUUUCAAUGGAAAUUUGCUGCUAGGUGCGGGAACACACUGGGAACGAAAGUGACACUCAAAAUCUGGUUUUUGGACAGAAGGGCUGCUAGUUAAUUUCUUCCCACGAACUUUAAUUACGUCUCUCCCGUCAGGGUCAAAAUUAAAGCAAGUCACCUCUUUUGAUAUUUUUG